CGAAUAUUUCAUGGCAAAAUUGUCACAAAAUAAAACGUAGAUAAUCAACAAAAAUAAUAAUUUUACCACGGUUUAGUCAUGAAUGUUUUCGUGGCUAAUCCACUAAAUAUCUUUUGCCACAUUUUUGUCACGAAAAAAUUCGUAGCUAUUAUAAAAUUGCCACAGUUUUGCCACCAUAUCUUUCAUUGCUAUUUGAAUCUCUAUACCCUAAUAAUUUUUAAACUCUAAACUCUAAAUAUAAACAUUAUAACUCUAAUCUUUUCCUGCUAUAGGCUCAAAUCUUAAACCUAAAUUCAAAAUUCAGUCAUUUUAAAAAUCUUUCUCAAAUUUUGAAUCUAAACCUCAAAUACUGUACUCCAAACCCUAAUAUCUAUACAUAAACCCUAUCCCCCCAAAUCAUAAAUCUUAACACUAAAUCUAAUAUUUUCAAUGUUAAACAUCAAAUCUUAAACAUACACUUUACAAAUUUAAUCUUUUCAAAAUUUCGUCUAAAAUAUUUUACAAAACCCUAAACCUCAUACUUCAAACAUUUUAUAUAUCACAAACUCUAACUUCAAAACUAAUACAUCUAUAUAUCAACAUAACUAAAUCUAUAUUUUAAAUCUAAUCUUUUAAAAUUAAAUUUAAAAAUAUUAAACUUACAUUUUAAAUUUUAUUAUGUUACUCAAGUUAUAUAUAAAGAUUAAUGAUUUAAAGGGAUAAAUA
RNAcentral lists this long non-coding RNA (705 nucleotides) under Brassica napus (rape). RNAcentral describes it as "long non-coding RNA (BNAP_LNC011522)". The record is from RNAcentral. Lineage: Eukaryota; Viridiplantae; Streptophyta; Magnoliopsida; Brassicales; Brassicaceae.